CAAUCAGCAGACAUUUCGCUGCUGAACCGGAGGGAGAGAGAGAGCACAGAAUCGCCCCCAAGAUAAGCAGAAAUACCAUCAAUUUACAAGGUCUCUCCAAACUGGAAAAAGCAACUGUGCAACAGCCACAUGCCACAUGUUCGGGUCUCGCUCUCACAGUCUCUCCGUGAUUGAUUUAUCCGUGUAUUUAUUUUAAACUCUCUCCCCAGACCCAGGCAUGUGCGUUUCCCCAGCACAAAUCAAUACACACUGCAACUGCAGCUGCAGCGGCGGCGCGAGCAGAGGACCCGCGCGCGUCCGUCGGUCCGCCCGCCCCCUCCCCCAUCCCCUUCCACCCGCGACCGCGAGCGCCAUCCCAGCUCCAUUAUCGGGCUUCAGCACUCCGAGCGUCUGGCCCAGGUAACAACUUCCCCAAAAACCGAAACAGAAAAAAAGAGAGGCGUCCGCAGAGGGCCCAUCCCGGCGCGGGGAGUCUUCCCCGGGGAGAGGGCUCUGCCCGCGGUGCUCCCCGGUCUCUAACCAGCAUGUAGCCACUGGAAAUGUUGACAACCAUCUUUUGAACACAACAAGAGACAGCUUUUAGAUGAAGUUGAUACUGCAAAAGGUAUAAUGAAGAGACUGAAAGAAACUGAGUCUUUGGUGAUAUGCAUGAGUCCUGGAUCAAGCCCUACCUGAAUCCUGGUAUCAAUUCUCCUCCUGGCCUGCGUGGAGCCCAGCCGGGGGAUCUCACAGAUUGAACCUGUGCCUUAGAAGUUCCAGACCUCAUCCUUAUCUUACUCCUGCAUAUUUGAGCUCCUCCCUCUGUAUUUUCAAGAUCA
Long non-coding RNA from Pipistrellus kuhlii (Kuhl's pipistrelle), 818 nucleotides. RefSeq lists it as uncharacterized. Lineage: Eukaryota; Metazoa; Chordata; Mammalia; Chiroptera; Vespertilionidae. The record is from RefSeq and is a predicted model, not a curated record. The transcript has 4 exons.